UACGGGGGGGGCAAGCGUUGUUCGGAAUUACUGGGCGUAAAGGGCUCGUAGGUGGCCAACUAAGUCAGACGUGAAAUCCCUCGGCUUAACCGGGGAACUGCGUCUGAUACUGGAUGGCUUGAGUUUGGGAGAGGGACGCGGAAUUCCAGGUGUAGCGGUGAAAUUCGUAGAUAUUCGCAAGAACACCAGUGGCGAAGGCGGCUCACUGGCCCGGAACUGACGCUGAGACGCGAAAGCGUGGGGAGCAAACAGG
This 253-nucleotide ribosomal RNA is filed under the name uncultured bacterium. RNAcentral's name for it is "partial 16S ribosomal RNA". It matches the Rfam family "Bacterial small subunit ribosomal RNA", at positions 524 to 776 of the family's 1533-position model. The record is from RNAcentral.